Molecule: long non-coding RNA, 1248 nt
Organism: Lolium perenne
Lineage: Eukaryota; Viridiplantae; Streptophyta; Magnoliopsida; Poales; Poaceae
Source: RefSeq, a predicted model, not a curated record
UCAACCGUUCUCCACCGCGUCCAGGACGAGGCGGCGGCGAAUUUCACGGGGGCGCGCGAGGACGAAAUAGAGGCCGGCCGCGGGGAGCGGUGCUGGCGGCGCUCGGCCUACGGGCGCGAGGAACAGCGGGACGGCAGGGCGUCCAAGCACUACGCGAGCAGCGACGAGUUGCUGCAGGAGACGGACGCGGGUCCGUUGACGAGCAGAGGUCGGGGAGGAGACGAGCCGGUCGGGCGACGGGAAGAGGGCGGUCGCAGAACUUGAAGCGGCGGAUGGUGAGGCCGAUGGCGAGCACGAGCCAGAGGAGAAGGGGCGCGCAGUCGGGUGGCCCUCGAGUCGCAGCAGCGGUGCGGCCUGUGAGGGGAGAGGCGCUAGGGCGCGGGCGGAGUUCGCCAGCAGCUGCCUCGACCAUCAGCCAGAUCCGCAGCCUCGAACCGGGUGCCAACGCCCUAGCCUCGGUCACCCUCGCGUCUCCAACACGAGCACGGGUUGUGUUCUUCGAUCUCCUCAUACAAAGGACUUCUGCCCCUCGACCGAAAUCGAAAUCCAGCGCGAAGUCCCGCCGGAAUUUCUGCACAAGAUCAAGAUGGAUAUUGCCACGGCCGAAGUUCCGCCCCAGCUCGACAUUGCCGACACUGAGAAGGAAUUUGGGGAUGGGCGGGCGACCUUGGCGAAGCUGAGAGGGGGCCUUUUGCUUCCGGUGCGUUAUGGAGCCGAGGCUUCGCGUGUGGAGCUGCGCGGAAGGUGUUCGAUUAUAUGCCCCUUUGAUAUAUGUCGUGGAAUGGUCUGCAAGAGUUUCUCAGCAUGAAGUCUUGUUAAACAGGAUCACGGAUGCAGGAGUUUCUCAGUAUGAUGGCCGGUGAGGUUCGGCCUGUCGAGUGAGUUCAGCUUCGCCACUGUCCUAACUGCAAUGCAGUACACUAUCUUAUUCUGAAAUCUGGGUAUCACUAGAAUCUUUUUCUAUGCAGUUUUUUUUACUGAAUGUGAACUGGAGAUGUGGUCACGUUCACUUGCCUAGGAAGAAUCAAGAAUCUCUUCGAUGCAAUCAUAAAUAAUGAUGUUGUAUAGUGGACUCCUGUGAUUUCUGUGUUUAUUCCGUAUAGAAACUAAUGAAGUGCCAUUUCAUGUCUUCAUCUAUGCAAAAUGUGUGUGCUGCUUGUGCAGCCCAUACACAUCGCAUCAAGUUUUUUUCCCACUUUGUUGUAUAUGAGCUGAAUCCUAAACGGAAUAAUACGAGGUUCCUUUUCA